UGCAGGGUACACCAUGAUAAUGCGUGGGUCUUCAGCAAGCACAAGGUGUGAUGUGUGUUUGGCGUGUGCUCUUCAAGCCCAACCUUAUCUGUAAGAAAAGGAGAGAGAAAGGGUCCCCCCACAGUCCUCUUAUCAAUACACAUGAAAAUAAUGAGAGAAGAGAGAAUCAGAGACAGUGGGAGAUGGUUCCAACCAUGGUGUCAGCCUGAAUUUCAACGGUCAGACCAAUUCCAAGGUCUUACAUCAAAGGGUGCAAGAUUUUCCAACCAUAACUCUGGGAGUUGACACUGUUUUGAAUACCAAGGAUGCUGAAAAUGCCAAAAAAGUGGAAGAAAAGUUCAUCAUGAGUCCUGCAGUUGUAAAGGCAUGAUAAGUAGUUAUUACUCAUUUUUAUGAUCUCUUUCAGAGACCUCUUUUAUUUAUAAGUAAACAAGAUUAAAUAAAAUAUAAAUACAAAUGUAAACCUAGAUGGUCUGCGUUAGGUGUAUUAUUUUUGUUGGGAUUGAGAGUAGGGGUGUUCAUCGAAUCGAAUUUUCGAUUUUUUCGAAUCGAAUUAUUCGAAUAAUUUUUAUUUUCCCUUAUAUUCAAAUUCGAUUAAAACCUACCCAUAAUUUUUAUUUUUACUUA
This is a long non-coding RNA of Helianthus annuus (common sunflower), 627 nucleotides long. RefSeq lists it as uncharacterized. The record is from RefSeq and is a predicted model, not a curated record. The transcript is spliced from 3 exons. NCBI's taxonomy places the organism in Eukaryota, Viridiplantae, Streptophyta, Magnoliopsida, Asterales, Asteraceae.